Molecule: ribosomal RNA, 1123 nt
Filed under: uncultured bacterium
Lineage: Bacteria
Description: bacterial SSU rRNA
Rfam family: Bacterial small subunit ribosomal RNA
Source: RNAcentral
AUUGAUUUUAUGCUUGCAUAAAUGAUUUUUGGAUUCGGAGCGAGUGGCGAACUGGUGAGUAACACGUGGGUAACCUGCCCCGAAGCGGGGGAUAACAUUUGGAAACAAGUGCUAAUACCGCAUAAUUAGUUGGAACCGCAUGGUUCCAACUUGAAAGAUGGCUCUGCUAUCACUUUGGGAUGGACCCGCGCCGUAUUAGUUAGUUGGUGAGAUAAAAGCCCACCAAGACGAUGAUACGUAGCCGACCUGAGAGGGUAAUCGGCCACAUUGGGACUGAGACACGGCCCAGACUCCUACGGGAGGCGGCAGUAGGGAAUCUUCCACAAUGGACGAAAGUCUGAUGGAGCAACGCCGCGUGAGUGAUGAAGGUUUUCGGAUCGUAAAACUCUGUUGUUAAAGAAGAACAAGUGUUAGAGUAACUGUUAACACUUUGACGGUAUUUAACCAGAAAGCCACGGCUAACUACGUGCCAGCAGCCGCGGUAAUACGUAGGUGGCAAGCGUUGUCCGGAUUUAUUGGGCGUAAAGCGAGCGCAGGCGGUUUUGUAAGUCUGCUGUGAAAGCCCUCAGCUCAACUGAGGAAGUGCAGUGGAAACUACAAAACUUGAGUACAGAAGAGGAAAGUGGAACUCCAUGUGUAGCGGUGAAAUGCGUAGAUAUAUGGAAGAACACCAGUGGCGAAGGCGGCUUUCUGGCCUGUUACUGACGCUGAGGCUCGAAAGCAUGGGUAGCGAACAGGAUUAGAUACCCUGGUAGUCCAUGCCGUAAACGAUGAAUACUAGGUGUUGGAGGGUUUCCGCCCUUCAGUGCCGCAGCUAACGCAUUAAGUAUUCCGCCUGGGGAGUACGACCGCAAGGUUGAAACUCAAAGGAAUUGACGGGGGCCCGCACAAGUGGUGGAGCAUGUGGUUUAAUUCGAUGCUACGCGAAGAACCUUACCAGCUCUUGACAUCUUCUGCCAACCCGAGAGAUUGGGCGUUCCCUUCGGGGACAGAAUGACAGGUGGUGCAUGGUUGUCGUCAGCUCGUGUCGUGAGAUGUUGGGUUAAGUCCCGCAACGAGCGCAACCCUUAUUAUUAGUUGCCAGCAUUUAGUUGGGCACUCUAAUGAGACUGCCGGUGAUAAA